UACGAAGGGGGGCUAGCGUUGUUCGGAAUUACUGGGCGUAAAGCGCGCGCAGGCGGUCUUCCAAGUCAGUGGUGAAAGCCCGGAGCUCAACUCCGGAACUGCCAUUGGAACUGUGAGACUUGAGGAUGAGAGAGGUGAGUGGAAUUCCCAGUGUAGAGGUGAAAUUCGUAGAUAUUGGGAAGAACACCGGUGGCGAAGGCGGCUCACUGGCUCAUUUCUGACGCUCAGGCGCGACAGCGUGGGGAUCAAACAGG
This 254-nucleotide ribosomal RNA is filed under the name uncultured bacterium. RNAcentral's name for it is "partial 16S ribosomal RNA". It matches the Rfam family "Bacterial small subunit ribosomal RNA", at positions 524 to 776 of the family's 1533-position model. The record is from RNAcentral.